GUGGAGGAUGAAGGCCUUCGGGUUGUAAAUUCCUGUGGUNCGANGUAGUGUCGGACUAGAAAGCACCAGCAAACUACGUGCCAGCAGCGGCGGUAAUUCGUAGGGUGCGAGCGUUAUCCGGAUUUAUUGGGCGUAAAGGGUUUCGUAGGCGGUNUUCUAAGUUACUUGUUAAAGCCUUNUGCUUAACGGAAGAAAGGCGGGUAAUACUGGAGGACUAGAAGUGGUUCGGGGGUGCUGGAACUGGCGGUGGAGGGGUGAAAUCCGUUGAGAUCGCCAGGAACACCGAGGGCGAAGGCAGGCACCUAGGACCUCUUGACGCUGAGGAACGAAAGCUAGGGGAGCGAACCGGAUUAGAGACCCGGGUAGUCCUAGCCGUAAACGAUGAACGCUAGUUGCCUCGCCCUUUCUUUAGAAAGGGCAGGGUGGCGUAAGCUAACGCGUUAAGCGUUCCGCCUGGGGAGUACAGUCGCAAGGCUGAAACUCAAAGGAAUUGGCGGGGACCUGCACAACCAGCGGAGCAUGUGGUUCAAUUCGAUACGAAGCGUAGAACCUUACCUGGGCUUGGCAUGCACCUGCAUCCCGAUGGAAACGUCGGGAGCCUUCGAGGGUGGUGCACAGCUGCUGCAUGGUUGUCGUCAGCUCUAGUCGUGAGAUGUUCCCUUAAGUGGGGUAUAGAGCGCAACCCCUAUCCUAUGUUGUCUAUCAUGGGAGACUGCUCUUGAUAUAAUCAGGGGAGGAAGGUGGGGAUGACGUCAAAUCAGCAUGGCGCUUAUGUCCAGGGCUACACACAUCCUACAAUGGGUGAGACAAUGGGUUGCCAAGUCGUAAGGCGGAGCUAAUCCCAUCAAACUCAUCCUCAGUUCGGAUUGUGGGCUGAAAUUUGCCCACAUGAAGUUGGAGUUGGUAGUAAUCGCGGGUCAGCAGACCGCGGUGAAUACGUUCUCAGGUCUUGUACACACCGCCCGU
This 966-nucleotide ribosomal RNA is filed under the name uncultured bacterium. Its description in RNAcentral is "bacterial SSU rRNA". It matches the Rfam family "Bacterial small subunit ribosomal RNA", at positions 401 to 1397 of the family's 1533-position model. The record is from RNAcentral.